CGUUCCUUUAGCUUAAUGGGUAGAGCGUUGGACAUUUAAUACAACGGUCGUGGGUUCAAAUCCCACCAGGGAUGA
Molecule: non-coding RNA, 75 nt
Organism: Trichonephila clavata
Lineage: Eukaryota; Metazoa; Arthropoda; Arachnida; Araneae; Nephilidae
Source: the annotation of a GenBank genome assembly